Molecule: long non-coding RNA, 856 nt
Organism: Canis lupus familiaris (dog)
Lineage: Eukaryota; Metazoa; Chordata; Mammalia; Carnivora; Canidae
Exons: 2
Source: RefSeq, a predicted model, not a curated record
GAAGACUCCAGUUCCCAUGAGUCUCUGGGAGGAGGGGGAGAAGAAGACACCAAUUCCCAUGAGUCCCUCAGCAAAAGAGACUCCAAUUCCCAUCAAGCCUCUGGGAAACGAAAACUCAAUUCCCCCCAGCUCUAGGCAGCCAACUCCCAUGGCAAUUUUAGGAGUAUCAGUACUCUGACUCCUAGUUAUUUCAGGAGAUAACGACAACUCUGUUAGCACCUGGAGGAUAGAAACACCUCAAUUCUCACAGGACGCUGGGACAUAAAGACACCCCCGUCCUCCACUCCCAUCAGCUUCUGGAAAGCCGAGCCUCUCAUUUCUGUAAGCCUCUGGGAGGUAGAAACUCGAAUUCUCAUUAAUUCCUGGUAAAUAACGACUGCAGUGUGCACCAAUCUAAGUCAACGACCAUAAGACAUCGUGCAGCUUGAGGACAUGUGGGUGUUCAAUAAGCUUCAGGAUGGCGAUCUCCCGCUCCACCUGGGGGGAGCACGGGACAUGGGAAUGGAGGUCAGCAUGGCCCCCAUCCCUCCCCUCAGCCCCAAAGGGAUCUCCUCCUCCAGUGCACACACACCUUCAUCAGCACUGACUCCGACAGCUUCUCCCGGUUCACGAUCUUGAUGGCGACCUUCUGGCCCGUGAUGCAGUGCACCCCGAGUUUAACCAGCCCUGGGGAAGCAGGACUGAAACUGGGGGGGGUGGUCCCAGAGCCCUCGCCCAGCCUCUGGCUCCUGAGUCUCCAUUAUGACCCCCUUUCCUCCUCCUUUCCCUGCUGGCCUGAAUCACCCUGACCUGGGCUCCCAGGGCUCUGACAGCUACCAUUCCCACAAAACACAUUCUCUUCUUGCUGUUGCCUGUA